RNAcentral lists this transfer RNA (72 nucleotides) under Streptomyces resistomycificus. It matches the Rfam family "tRNA". Rfam says of the family: Transfer RNA (tRNA) molecules are approximately 80 nucleotides in length. Their secondary structure includes four short double-helical elements and three loops (D, anti-codon, and T loops). The record is from Rfam by way of RNAcentral. Lineage: Bacteria; Bacillati; Actinomycetota; Actinomycetes; Kitasatosporales; Streptomycetaceae.
CCGGGCGUAGCGCAGAGGCAGUCGCGCCGUCCUGCACAGACGGAUACGCCGGUUCGAAUCCGGUCGCCCGGA